RNAcentral lists this microRNA (23 nucleotides) under Blattella germanica (German cockroach). RNAcentral's name for it is "Bge-Mir-87-P1_5p* (star (passenger))". The record is from RNAcentral. Lineage: Eukaryota; Metazoa; Arthropoda; Insecta; Blattodea; Blattellidae.
GGGCCUGAAUCCUUGCUCAGCCU